UACGUAGGUGGCAAGCGUUGUCCGGAUUUACUGGGCGUAAAGAGCGCGCAGGCGGUCAGAUAAGUCGAAUGUGAAAGCCCCCGGCUCAACUGGGGAGGGUCAUUCGAUACUGUUCGACUCGAAGGCAGGAGAGGGAAGUGGAAUUCCCGGUGUAGUGGUGAAAUGCGCAGAUAUCUGGAGGAAUACCGGUGGCGAAGGCGGCAUCCUGGACCGGCAUUGACGCUGAGGAGCGAAAGCUAGGGGAGCAAACGGG
Molecule: ribosomal RNA, 253 nt
Filed under: uncultured bacterium
Lineage: Bacteria
Description: partial 16S ribosomal RNA
Rfam family: Bacterial small subunit ribosomal RNA
Source: RNAcentral